GCCUGGGUGGCUCAGUCGGUUGAGCUUCCGACUUCGACUCAGGUCAUGAUCUCACGGUUCGUGGGUUCAAGCCCCGCGUCGGGCU
Molecule: transfer RNA, 85 nt
Filed under: Felis catus (domestic cat)
Lineage: Eukaryota; Metazoa; Chordata; Mammalia; Carnivora; Felidae
Also listed under: 1 other name
Rfam family: tRNA
About the family: Transfer RNA (tRNA) molecules are approximately 80 nucleotides in length. Their secondary structure includes four short double-helical elements and three loops (D, anti-codon, and T loops).
Source: Rfam by way of RNAcentral